RNAcentral lists this ribosomal RNA (504 nucleotides) under uncultured bacterium. Its description in RNAcentral is "partial 16S ribosomal RNA". It matches the Rfam family "Bacterial small subunit ribosomal RNA", at positions 29 to 523 of the family's 1533-position model. The record is from RNAcentral.
AUUGAACGCUGGCGGCAGGCCUAACACAUGCAAGUCGGACGGUAGCACAGAGAGCUUGCUCUCGGAUGACGAGUGGCGGACGGGUGAGUAAUGUCUGGGGAUCUGCCCGAUAGAGGGGGAUAACCACUGGAAACGGUGGCUAAUACCGCAUAACGUCGCAAGACCAAAGAGGGGGACCUUCGGGCCUCUCACUAUCGGAUGAACCCAGAUGGGAUUAGCUAGUAGGCGGGGUAAUGGCCCACCUAGGCGACGAUCCCUAGCUGGUCUGAGAGGAUGACCAGCCACACUGGAACUGAGACACGGUCCAGACUCCUACGGGAGGCAGCAGUGGGGAAUAUUGCACAAUGGGCGCAAGCCUGAUGCAGCCAUGCCGCGUGUAUGAAGAAGGCCUUCGGGUUGUAAAGUACUUUCAGCGGGGAGGAAGGCGGUGAGGUUAAUAACCUUGCCGAUUGACGUUACCCGCAGAAGAAGCACCGGCUAACUCCGUGCCAGCAGCCGCGGUAA